CAGGGCUACGUGGGUUUAUUUUCGGAGCAGCUCCAGGGAUCCGAUGGCCUUGUUAGGGCAGCUGUGACCUUUCUUACCGGAGGAGGGUAGAAGGAAGGAGGCUGCGGGAGGAGAGCCGGGGAGACUCGCCUGUCCAAUGGGGCUCUGAAGAAGAGCCUGGCACCGCCCGCGCAACUAGCCGCGGGGGCCCGCAAGAGCCCCGGGAGGGCGGAAGAGGCAAGGGCGCAAAGCGCGCCAUAGGGGAGGGGGUCGCGACGGCGGCGGCCGGGGAAGGUUCAGCAAGGAUCCUCACCCUUCUUGGCUCUUAAAGGGGCCGGAUGCUGCCGGCGUUUAGAAGAGGCUGUGAGGAUGGUGUAGCAGAGAAAAGUUACCUUGCAGCUAAGGUCUUGCAAAGGCUUGCCUCUUGCCCAUCAGGUCGCUUGAAGCGAGCGCGCAGGAUGGGGAGGCCCGCGCCUUGCAGCUGAGCAGGAGUUUCGCCUCCUCUACUGCCUGCUGCCCUCCAAGGCCACUUGGUAGAGUUUUCCUUCCAUGCCUCCACACCUGACAGGCUAGCGUUGCCAAGCCGGAGGGUUCGGGGUCCCCGAGGUUCGUGCAGCUUUUCUGAGCCUAGGAAUAGCUUGCUUGCCACCUCCUCGCAGCUUCUUCCCUAGUUGCCCCUUCCUGGGCGAGGACGCCACGCCUGACCCCGAAGGCAGCCCCCGAGCAUAGCUUGGCUAUGCAGCACCACCUGCUGCUUCCACUAAUGGAGAAGUGAAUCUGGCCAAAUAGAAAGGAGGGAACGAGCCAGAGAAGAGCACAGACCCCUGGCUUGACAGCAUGAGCGGUGGCAGGUUUGACUUUGACGAUGGAGGGGCCUACUGCGGGGGCUGGGAAGGGGGCAAAGCCCACGGGCACGGCAUCUGCACCGGGCCCAAGGGCCAGGGCGAAUACUCAGGCUCCUGGAACUACGGCUUCGAAGUGGUGGGAGUCUACACCUGGCCCAGCGGCAACACCUACGAGGGCUACUGGUCUCAAGGCAAGAGGCAUGGCUUAGGGAUCGAGACCAAAGGGCGGUGGCUUUACAAAGGCGAAUGGACACAUGGCUUCAAAGGAAGGUAUGGGGUCAGGCAGAACGUCAGCAGCGGGGCAAAAUACGAAGGCACCUGGAAUAAUGGGCUGCAGGACGGUUAUGGCACCGAGACCUAUGCUGAUGGAGGUACAUACCAAGGCCAGUUCACCAAUGGAAUGCGCCACGGUUAUGGCGUCCGGCAGAGCGUCCCAUAUGGCAUAGCAGCUGUAGUCCGCAACCCUCUAAGGACCUCCCUUACUUCCCUCCGUAGUGAGCACAGCAAUGGCACCCUGUUGCAACAUGACUCCCCGUCAGCAAACCUGGAGAACUUUCCCAUGACACCUACGAUCACCCGUGGUGGCUUUGCUCUCAGCCUGUACGCGGAUGCUGAUGCGGGCAAGCUGAAGAAGGGAGGGCUCUUCAGGCGGAGUUCCUUGUUUGGGAAGAUGAAGAAAUCCGACUCUAAGACUUCCUUGGCCAGCCAAAGGAGCCGACUCAGCUUCCUCAAGAGCGAGAGUGGGAUGAGCUCCACUGGUAGCGAUGCCACCUCCACGGCUAGCCUAGGAGAAGGAGCAGAGGGAGAGGACUUCCCACCUUUUGACGCUGAUAUCGAUGCCACCACAACAGAGUCCUAUAUGGGUGAGUGGAAGAAUGACAAGCGCUCUGGGUUUGGCGUGAGUGAGAGAUCAAGUGGCCUGAAGUAUGAGGGUGAAUGGCUGGAUAAUGUACGGCAUGGAUACGGUUGCACCACUUUGCCUGAUGGUAAGAAGGAAGAAGGGAAAUACAGAAUGAACGUCCUGAUCAAAGGCAUGAAGAAGAGGGUGAUACCUCUGAAAAGUGCCAAGAUAAGGCAGAAGGUGGACAGGAGCCUGGAAGGGGCUCAGAGGGCAGCAGCCAUCGCCAGACAGAAAUCUGAGAUUGCAGCUUCUAGAUAUGUCUCAUGACUGAUAUGGCUGAUUACAUCUAGAGCAAGAAUUGCGUAUCAUCAAGGAGCAAUCAUUUUGGGAAUGACACAUUUGGUGAGAUCUGACAAAAUGUGAAAAUAGAAGUUGUGCAUUUUAGGCAGACCUUGGUUCCUGUGUCAGCACCAUCCUGAUGGGACAGGCGGCACCAGCAUUAUAUCUAGCCAGGUUAUUUUCCUAGGAUUGGUCCUUUGCAGCUGUGUCUUUAACCUGCCCUACAUCUGCUGUCAUAGGGGGCAAGUUAUUGUGACUUGGGGAAAACCUUGCAAGAUGAAUUAGGACCCCUGCUGGGCCUAGUUUGGAUCUGGACAACAUGGUAACAUGGUUUGUUGCUCCAGCUCAGGCAUCCCCAAACUUCGGCCCUCCAGAUGUUUUGGACUACAGUUCCCAUUAUCCCUGACCACUGGUGGUCCUCUUAGCUACGGAUCAUGGGAGUUGUAGGCCAAAACAUCUGGAGGGCCGCAGUUUGGGGAUGCCUGCUCCAGCUUGUAGCUAGGAAACAGCAAAGUGCAUUGACACACUGCUCAUUUCUGGCCAAUGAGAAAUAAUCCCCAUUAAAAUUAAGGAGCUACAUGAGAGCACUACCAUACUAUUGAAAUGCUCCCUUUGAUUUCAGUGGGGGUCGGGCAAGAUAAUUUCCCAGUUGAUUGUGCUCUUUAGGAUGUAAUCCUAUACCCACUUAGGGUAAGAACUCAUUGAACUCAAUAGGACUUAAUUUUGUGUAGACAUGAAUACCGUGUUUCUCAUAUUAUAAGACACGUCUUAUAUUUAUUUUUUCCUCAAAAAAACACACUAUGGCUUAUUUUCAAGGGAUGUCUUAUUUUUUUCCUUCUCCUCCUGCCGCGGCCGGCAUUGCUGCUGCGCCUAUCACUAUGUCUUAUUUUCGGGGUAUGGCUUAUAUUCCUUGAAUGCUUAAAAAUCCUGCUAUGGCUUAUUUUAUGGGUAUGUCUUAAAAUAUGAGAAACAGGGUAGAAUCACACGGUAAUGUUACCUGUAAGGUGCUGUGAACACUGAUAAUAGAUACAUAGGUUUAUGCUGUUAUUUGGCCUGUAAAAUACUAUGCACACUGCUGGUGGUAUAGAAAUAAAUCACGGCUACCCACCAGAUUUGCCUAGUAGAGAUUUAUGCAUCUUGGCAAGGUGUUAAAUGAAGGGCAGCACAUCUCCAAGGUAAUAGAUCUUGCCACAGAAAAGGUCACUGCAGGCUCUUUUCUGCCAAGGACACUAAUACAGUGGAACCUCGGUUUAUGAACACCUCGGUUUAUGAAUUUUCGGUUUACGAAUGCCGCGGACCCAUCUGGAACGGAUUAAUUCACUUUCCAUUACUUUCAAUAGGAAAGUUCGCUUCAGUUUAUGAAUGCUUCAGUUUAUGAACAGACUUCCGGAACCAAUUGUGUUCAUAAACCGAGGUACCACUGUAUUCCCAUGAAGCAUAAAUGAGGAAUUAUAGUCUGGGGUAAGGGCUUCAUCUUACUUUGAUGUUUGUUUUUGGCUCUAGUUCCCCAUGCAAGUACAAAGCAAAUGUGCCUUACAUUGUUGUGAAUGGCAUGUGUGCAUUAAAUUGCACUUUUCUUAGUAAAAUACAUGGAAAAGAAAAUACGGUUGUUCUAUGUGCUAAAAAAUAGGAGUGCACCAUUCACAACCAAUACUAAUCAUAGAAACAUGGAGUUGGAGAAGGUCUUGUAGGUUAUCUAGUCCUGUUCUUCCUAAACUAUCUGAUGUUGUGGACCAACAAAUCUCCCCCUCCUCAAUGUGCCAGUGACCGAUACAGUGGAACCUUGGUUUAUGAACACCUCGGUUUACAAAUUUUCGGUUUACGAACGCCGCGGACCCAUCUGGAAUGGAUUAAUCCACUUUCCAUUACUUUCAGUGGGAAAGUUCGCUUCAGUUUAUGAAUGCUUUAGUUUAUGAACAGACUUCUGGAACCAAUUGUGUUAAUAAACCGAGGUACCACUGUACAUUAUUUGGACUCUGAAGCAUUCUACCCAACCUAGGCUGGGUUAAGUAGCCAUGGUCUGUGGACCACCGUUUUGAGUAUCACUGAUCUAGUCAAACCCUGCGCAAUGCAGGAAUUUCAGGACACCCUCACACACACACACACUUACAUGCAUUUGACUUGUGUGCAUACAUGCGGUGCUGGGAAAUACGUAAAUAAUUCCAUUCAUACUCGGAAGUGGCAGAAGAGAGCUGAGAGUUCUUGUGGCUUGUGUGGAGCCCCGAAAUCCUCCCAGAGUCUGAAGAGGACUUCAGUGAGGGUGAAGGAAGCCGCAAAGAGACCGGAGGCACAGCAGGGCUUUGCUUAGCCUGCUCAGCCCCCCCCCCCCCAUCUAGAAGUUGAUGUCUAGGGUAGUGCAGCUGCAGUUGCCACUUUGCCGCAUGUCCUCCAGCCUCAGAGGUUUGAUUCUAGUUGUAGAUAUUUUUGGAUAUUGAAUUCAGGUUCUCUUCACGGCGAAUCUAUCUAAUUCACAAUAAUCGCAGCCAUCCUUCAAAAUUUGCACAUCUCAACAGUUUGCAGGGCAGUUCUCUGGCAAAGUAUUGUGUCCAAAAAUGCAUAUACUGUACUAGGGUAAACUGUGUAUUGAAAUGCCUAGGUUAGUGAAAAUAUAUUACAUUUGGGAAAUUGCUUUGCCAAAAUGUGUAUGUUAAGGAACAUUGCAUAAAAAUCUAUAUUGUAGGAGAAAUUCUCUGGUGAAUUUUCAUGAAAGUUUUCCGUAUUUUUUUUCUAAUUGCAAACUGAUGGGGGAAUGUGGAGAACUGGAGAUUGGAAGAAUAAGAAACUGUGAGAAACUAAAACUGACAGAAUUGCUUUUUUCAUUUAUUAUUCUAUGCCGUUUUCCCACUCAUGCGAAUCACAAAGCAGCUCACAAUAAAUAAGCAAUAAUGUAAAGGAACAUCACAAAGACAACAUAAAUCAUAUAUAAUAAUUUUAAAAAAUCAUCAGUGAAACUAUUACAAAUAAUCAGUAAAACAGUCACAUUCUAUAAAACACAAUUAACAAAAUAACUUAAAAAAGUAAGCUAAACAACAAAAACACAACAAAAGUCAUAUUAUAACACUCACAAAGCACUACAGCACACCUAGUCCACAAAAUAGUAUCGACAACAUUAGCAACCUUUGAGUUGGCACACAAACGCACACUCCUCACCCCUAUGUGUGCAUUCAGCUUCCUUAUCCUUUUGACCCUUUAACUCUUAAAAUUGAGCCCUCAUCUCUCUGCUUCAUCCAUGUUUGGAAUAGGCCUGGGCUCUAAAAAACAUGGGCAAGGGUGGUUUAGCUAUUUUUUAAAGAAUCUGUAGCUGUAGGAUAUGAUCUACAUCCAUAUUAGCACAGGAGAUGCUGUCUGAUUUUGCUGAUUCUUUGCUUGUGGUCUCUUCCACAGCAUGCUGGAAAAGUCAUGCAUAUAAAGUGUUGCAAGGCUAUAAAUAAUGGUGUUGGAGCUGUUGAAUUGCUGCACAAAUGCUCGGCAGUUUAUAAAAGGAUCUUUUUAUUAUACACUAUUUACACUUCAAAUCAAAGGGGGAACUCUGGUGGUUUACAUCAGAGAUUGGAAUGCACUCCUGGUGGAGCGGGGGCACUCUAUCCCUCCCUUAGCGCUGCUUGGACAUAAUUUCCUAUUAAGGAAACUUUUGAGCAAGGGGAAAUAGACACGUCGAGUCAUUUUCCUCCUCCUUGUGUGUUGCACAAAUGCAGCUGCUUGAGACACUUGGAAAGAGGGUUUGCAAUUUCCAUGCUAGCAGCCCCUGCUCAUCUCACUCUCUUGUGAAUUAGCCCUUGAGUUUUGAGACCAGGCAUGUUUCCCUUGAGAAAUGUAGCCAAAUGUUCUGUUUAUUUGCUUUUAUUUUAGAUUAUCACAACAAACAAAUCAACUUGCCCAAGACAUUGUGCAAUAAAAGACGAGCAAAUGAAAAUCAGUGUAAAUCAGCCUUGAAUUCAAUAGUAGCUACAGGUGACAAGCCAUAGGUGACAAGGAAGAAUUAAUGGGGAAACACAGGGUUUCAGGGGGUCUUUCUCCACUGAAAUCCAAGGCAAAAAAUCACAAGUGGAAACACCGAACUGAACAUGGGGCAAAGAGGUACAGACUUAGGGAAAGUGCAGCUGGGCCCCAAGACUAAGGAGGUGGAAGAAGACAGCCAACACCACUCCAACUUACUGGUUGUCAGUAAGAAAGCAGGCAAGUGAGGGGUGACUGAGGGCAUAUCUGGUUGGUGGGGCAGUGUGCAAUUUGCCCUGUUGGGCCAGCUUCCACUGCCAUCUAGCUCAUUACCGUCUACCUGUUACUGGCAGCAGGUCUCCUGCUUUUCAAACCAAGGUUUUCUCAGCCUUUACUUGAAGAUGCUGGGGAUUGAACCUGUGACCUUCUGCAUGCAAAGCAGACUCUCUUUCACUGCCCGUUAUCAAUCAUCUUGCAGCUUUCCUCUCUACCAUUUUCUGCCCUUCAGAAGAAGAAAAAAACCAGGUAUAAAAACAUGUCUACGGACACCAGACCUCUGCUGCCCAGUUUGUAUGCUUGUUUUUUGUCUGUUUGAAGCAAGUUGUUUAAAAGGAUCAAGUUUUAAAUCCUAGCCAGCUUUUCCGUCCGUUGGUGUCGCCUGUCUCCAUGGGACACGUUGCACCCGCCCUUAAAAUAACAGAGCCGCUCAUCUGCUGAGACUUGAACUGCAGUCCUCCCUCGUAUCACUUUCCUUUACUCUCCUGGCCAAUCAUGCUCUUAAGCAAUGUUAACUUAUAUCUCCAGUGUGCUCAGCAUUUCAAAUCUACAUUACAUAGGCAGGAAUGAGAGUCUCCUUGGGGGACACUGGUGGAGCAUGGUGUAAAUGACGUGUUGAAAGUGCUGGAGUCAGCAGAGGAGGCCCUGACUAAAUAAGGGUAUACAUUGCAGUGGUUUACCAGACCGACAGGAGAAUGCAACAACCAAGAGCCUACAUGCUUAUCCGCUAAGUAGAAACCUGUUCAGGUGGAUUUUAACCCUAUGUUAAAAGUAAUGGCUUUGUGUAGAUUCUGUGCUGUGCUCAUAGAACAGGGUCCCCAAACUAAGUCCCGGGGGCCAGAUGCGGCCCAAUUGCCUUCUCAAUCCGGCCCCUGGUCAGUCUGGGAAUCAGCAUGUUUUUACAUGACUAAAAUGUGUCCUUUUAUUUAAAAUGCAUCUCUGGGUUA
Non-coding RNA from Zootoca vivipara (common lizard), 7163 nucleotides. The record is from RefSeq and is a predicted model, not a curated record. NCBI's taxonomy places the organism in Eukaryota, Metazoa, Chordata, Lepidosauria, Squamata, Lacertidae.